This 751-nucleotide long non-coding RNA is filed under the name Eucalyptus grandis. Its description in RNAcentral is "long non-coding RNA (EGRA_LNC007275)". Lineage: Eukaryota; Viridiplantae; Streptophyta; Magnoliopsida; Myrtales; Myrtaceae. The record is from RNAcentral.
UAUCUUUUUAUCCACCUCCUAUUGUCUAAACUUUAGACUGAAGUUCUUCAGAAGCUAAAAACACUGCAAGACAAAUCACACUUUUUUUUUCCAAACAGACAUGAACUAUAUCAUCAUUCGACUUUACCAAAAAAACUAUAUAAUCAUUCGAACACAAGCAAAAACCACAGGAUAAAGAUUUCACAAUCAAAGGUCGGAGAAUUAUAGAUUUGCCAGGGUAUUAAAGGGGGAAGCUUCUCUACUCUACGUCAGAAAAAUGAACCACAAUAAAUUCAGAAACCCUAAAGAGGGAUGAGAGCGCAAAGGCAAAAACAAAAAACCUGGAAGGAAAGCAAAGGGAUAUUUGGCAGCUGACGGAUCUCUCUUUAUUUUGUGGCCACAAACAUAAAAAGAAAAAAAAAAAAAACCUUACCAUUCGAAAUUCAACGAUCUUCUACUUAGGGCAAAUAUGGUGUGAGCUACCCAUGAAAAGGAAAUGCAAACAAAAAAGGAAAGAAAUAAGGAGGAAAGCAAAGCAUUCAGGUUCAACCGAAACGGCAUGGUCAAUUUGGUAAAGAAGAUUCAAAGAGGCAGAAGGAUUAUCUUUUUUUGAUAAAAUUAAGAAAAAGAAAGUAGAGAGAGAGAAGAUAUUUUGUUUUUUGGUUUUUUUUGCGGUGAUCUCGUAGUUCCUACGGGGUGGAGACGAUGGGGUCAAAACAUAUAUUAUGCCAAUGGGUUUCAGCUUCGGCUGUUGUGGCCUGCGUGACAUUCG